GAUGAACGCUGGCGGCGUGCCUAAUACAUGCAAGUCGAGCGAACGGACGAGAAGCUUGCUUCUCUGAUGUUAGCGGCGGACGGGUGAGUAACACGUGGAUAACCUACCUAUAAGACUGGGAUAACUUCGGGAAACCGGAGCUAAUACCGGAUAAUAUUUUGAACCGCAUGGUUCAAAAGUGAAAGACGGUCUUGCUGUCACUUAUAGAUGGAUCCGCGCUGCAUUAGCUAGUUGGUAAGGUAACGGCUUACCAAGGCAACGAUGCAUAGCCGACCUGAGAGGGUGAUCGGCCACACUGGAACUGAGACACGGUCCAGACUCCUACGGGAGGCAGCAGUAGGGAAUCUUCCGCAGUGGGCGAAAGCCUGACGGAGCAACGCCGCGUGAGUGAUGAAGGUCUUCGGAUCGUAAAACUCUGUUAUUAGGGAAGAACAUAUGUGUAAGUAACUGUGCACAUCUUGACGGUACCUAAUCAGAAAGCCACGGCUAACUACGUGCCAGCAGCCGCGGUAAUACGUAGGUGGCAAGCGUUAUCCGGAAUUAUUGGGCGUAAAGCGCGCGUAGGCGGUUUUUUAAGUCUGAUGUGAAAGCCCACGGCUCAACCGUGGAGGGUCAUUGGAAACUGGAAAACUUGAGUGCAGAAGAGGAAAGUGGAAUUCCAUGUGUAGCGGUGAAAUGCGCAGAGAUAUGGAGGAACACCAGUGGCGAAGGCGACUUUCUGGUCUGUAACUGACGCUGAUGUGCGAAAGCGUGGGGAUCAAACAGGAUUAGAUACCCUGGUAGUCCACGCCGUAAACGAUGAGUGCUAAGUGUUAGGGGGUUUCCGCCCCUUAGUGCUGCAGCUAACGCAUUAAGCACUCCGCCUGGGGAGUACGACCGCAAGGUUGAAACUCAAAGGAAUUGACGGGGACCCGCACAAGCGGUGGAGCAUGUGGUUUAAUUCGAAGCAACGCGAAGAACCUUACCAAAUCUUGACAUCCUUUGACAACUCUAGAGAUAGAGCCUUCCCCUUCGGGGGACAAAGUGACAGGUGGUGCAUGGUUGUCGUCAGCUCGUGUCGUGAGAUGUUGGGUUAAGUCCCGCAACGAGCGCAACCCUUAAGCUUAGUUGCCAUCAUUAAGUUGGGCACUCUAAGUUGACUGCCGGUGACAAACCGGAGGAAGGUGGGGAUGACGUCAAAUCAUCAUGCCCCUUAUGAUUUGGGCUACACACGUGCUACAAUGGACAAUACAAAGGGCAGCGAAACCGCGAGGUCAAGCAAAUCCCAUAAAGUUGUUCUCAGUUCGGAUUGUAGUCUGCAACUCGACUACAUGAAGCUGGAAUCGCUAGUAAUCGUAGAUCAGCAUGCUACGGUGAAUACGUUCCCGGGUCU
RNAcentral lists this ribosomal RNA (1372 nucleotides) under uncultured bacterium. RNAcentral describes it as "bacterial SSU rRNA". It matches the Rfam family "Bacterial small subunit ribosomal RNA", at positions 28 to 1381 of the family's 1533-position model. The record is from RNAcentral.